This 864-nucleotide ribosomal RNA is filed under the name Wolbachia pipientis. RNAcentral describes it as "bacterial SSU rRNA". It matches the Rfam family "Bacterial small subunit ribosomal RNA", at positions 102 to 1004 of the family's 1533-position model. The record is from RNAcentral. Lineage: Bacteria; Pseudomonadati; Pseudomonadota; Alphaproteobacteria; Rickettsiales; Anaplasmataceae.
ACGGGUGAGUAAUGUAUAGGAAUCUACCUAGUAGUACGGAAUAAUUGUUGGAAACGACAACUAAUACCGUAUACGCCCUACGGGGGAAAAAUUUAUUGCUAUUAGAUGAGCCUAUAUUAGAUUAGCUAGUUGGUGGGGUAAUAGCCUACCAAGGUAAUGAUCUAUAGCUGAUCUGAGAGGAUGAUCAGCCACACUGGAACUGAGAUACGGUCCAGACUCCUACGGGAGGCAGCAGUGGGGAAUAUUGGACAAUGGGCGAAAGCCUGAUCCAGCCAUGCCGCAUGAGUGAAGAAGGCCUUUGGGUUGUAAAGCUCUUUUAGUGAGGAAGAUAAUGACGGUACUCACAGAAGAAGUCCUGGCUAACUCCGUGCCAGCAGCCGCGGUAAUACGGAGAGGGCUAGCGUUAUUCGGAAUUAUUGGGCGUAAAGGGCGCGUAGGCUGGUUAAUAAGUUAAAAGUGAAAUCCCGAGGCUUAACCUUGGAAUUGCUUUUAAAACUAUUAAUCUAGAGAUUGAAAGAGGAUAGGGGAAUUCCUGAUGUAGAGGUAAAAUUCGUAAAUAUUAGGAGGAACACCAGUGGCGAAGGCGUCUAUCUGGUUCAAAUCUGACGCUGAAGCGCGAAGGCGUGGGGAGCAAACAGGAUUAGAUACCCUGGUAGUCCACGCUGUAAACGAUGAAUGUUAAAUAUGGGGAGUUUACUUUCUGUAUUACAGCUAACGCGUUAAACAUUCCGCCUGGGGACUACGGUCGCAAGAUUAAAACUCAAAGGAAUUGACGGGGACCCGCACAAGCGGUGGAGCAUGUGGUUAAAUUCGAUGCAACGCGAAAAACAAGCCCACUUCUUGACAUGAAAUAAACCCCUUUUA